CCUACGGGUGGCAGCAGUGAGGAAUAUUGGUCAAUGGGCUUACGCCUGAACCAGCCAAGUCGCGUGAGGGAAGACUGCCCUAUGGGUUGUAAACCUCUUUUGUCAGGGAGCAACGCCGGCUACGUGUAGCCGGACUGAGAGUACCUGAAGAAAAAGCAUCGGCUAACUCCGUGCCAGCAGCCGCGGUAAUACGGAGGAUGCGAGCGUUAUCCGGAUUUAUUGGGUUUAAAGGGUGCGUAGGCUGUGAGGUAAGUCAGCGGUGAAAUGCCCCCGCUCAACGGGGUGAAGUGCCAUUGAUACUGCCUUGCUGGAAUGCGGAUGCCGUGGGAGGAAUGUGUGGUGUAGCGGUGAAAUGCAUAGAUAUCACGAAGAACUCCGAUUGCGAAGGCAGCAUACCGGCGCCCAACUGACGCUGAAGCACGAAAGCGUGGGUAUCGAACAGGAUUAGAUACCCGGGUAGUC
RNAcentral lists this ribosomal RNA (462 nucleotides) under uncultured bacterium. RNAcentral's name for it is "partial 16S ribosomal RNA". It matches the Rfam family "Bacterial small subunit ribosomal RNA", at positions 338 to 795 of the family's 1533-position model. The record is from RNAcentral.